GACGAACGCUGGCGGCGUGCUUAACACAUGCAAGUCGAACGGAAAGGCCCUGCUUUUGUGGGGUGCUCGAGUGGCGAACGGGUGAGUAACACGUGAGUAACCUGCCCUUGACUUUGGGAUAACUUCAGGAAACUGGGGCUAAUACUGGAUAGGAGCUCCUGCUGCAUGGUGGGGGUUGGAAAGUUUCGGCGGUUGGGGAUGGACUCGCGGCUUAUCGGCUUGUUGGUGGGGUAGUGGCUUACCAAGGCUUUGACGGGUAGCCGGCCUGAGAGGGUGACCGGCCACAUUGGGACUGAGAUACGGCCCAGACUCCUACGGGAGGCAGCAGUGGGGAAUAUUGCACAAUGGGCGGAAGCCUGAUGCAGCAACGCCGCGUGCGGGAUGACGGCCUUCGGGUUGUAAACCGCUUUCGCCUGUGACGAAGCGUGAGUGACGGUAAUGGGUAAAGAAGCACCGGCUAACUACGUGCCAGCAGCCGCGGUGAUACGUAGGGUGCGAGCGUUGUCCGGAUUUAUUGGGCGUAAAGGGCUCGUAGGUGGUUGAUCGCGUCGGAAGUGUAAUCUUGGGGCUUAACCCUGAGCGUGCUUUCGAUACGGGUUGACUUGAGGAAGGUAGGGGAGAAUGGAAUUCCUGGUGGAGCGGUGGAAUGCGCAGAUAUCAGGAGGAACACCAGUGGCGAAGGCGGUUCUCUGGGCCUUUCCUGACGCUGAGGAGCGAAAGCGUGGGGAGCGAACAGGCUUAGAUACCCUGGUAGUCCACGCUGUAAACGGUGGGUACUAGGUGUGGGGUCCAUUCCACGGGUUCCGUGCCGUAGCUAACGCUUUAAGUACCCCGCCUGGGGAGUACGGCCGCAAGGCUAAAACUCAAAGGAAUUGACGGGGCCCCGCACAAGCGGCGGAGCAUGCGGAUUAAUUCGAUGCAACGCGUAGAACCUUACCUGGGUUUGACAUGGAUCGGGAGUGCUCAGAGAUGGGUGUGCCUCUUUUGGGGUCGGUUCACAGGUGGUGCAUGGCUGUCGUCAGCUCGUGUCGUGAGAUGUUGGGUUAAGUCCCGCAACGAGCGCAACCCUUGUUCACUGUUGCCAGCACGUUAUGGUGGGGACUCAGUGGAGACCGCCGGGGUCAACUCGGAGGAAGGUGGGGAUGACGUCAAGUCAUCAUGCCCCUUAUGUCCAGGGCUUCACGCAUGCUACAAUGGCUGGUACAGAGAGUGGCGAGCCUGUGAGGGUGAGCGAAUCUCGGAAAGCCGGUCUCAGUUCGGAUUGGGGUCUGCAACUCGACCUCAUGAAGUCGGAGUCGCUAGUAAUCGCAGAUCAGCAACGCUGCGGUGAAUACGUUCCCGGG
RNAcentral lists this ribosomal RNA (1343 nucleotides) under uncultured bacterium. Its description in RNAcentral is "16S ribosomal RNA". It matches the Rfam family "Bacterial small subunit ribosomal RNA", at positions 28 to 1378 of the family's 1533-position model. The record is from RNAcentral.